UCAAUCCCUGGCCUCACUCAGUGGCCACGUGAGCUGUGGUGUAGGUCACAGAUGCGGCUUGGAUCUGGCGUGGCUGUGGCUGUGGCGUAGGCCAGUGGCUACAGCUCAGUUAGACCCCCUAGCCUGGGAACCUGCAUAUGCUGCAGGUGUGGCCCUAAAAAAAAGACAAAAAGACAAAAAAAAAAAAUAAAAUAAAAUAAAUAGUAGCUGAAAAUUCACCAAAUAUGGAGAAAAAAUUGGGCAUCUAAAUUCACACUAAUUUUAAACUAUAAUUUACCCUUAUGCAAUGCAGGGGUUAGGGGUACCUUUCACCUGCACAGUCAAAAAUCUGAGUAUAACUUUAUAGUUGACCCUCAUUUGAGGUUUCAGAUCCAUGGUUUUGACCAUCUGCACAUUGUUUAAUACUGUGGUAUCCAUUUAUUGCAAAAAAAAAUUUGUGUAAUGUAAGAGUGGACCUGUGCAGUUCAAACCCAUGUUGUUCAAGGAUCAACUGUGUGUUAUGUUACAGUAAUCAAAAAGUAUGGUUCUGGAAUAAAAACAAGUACGAAGACAAUAGGCACAGAAUUGAGAGCCCAGAAAUAAACUCAUGUGAAUACAGUCAACUAACACUUGACAAGGGAGUCAAGAAUACUGAGUACAGAAAGGAUAGUAUUUUCAAUAAAUGGUGUUGGGAAAACUGCAUGUCCACAGGCAAAAGAAUGAAUUGGGUCCCUGUCUUACACAACUCACAAAAAUUAAAUGGAUGAAAGACUUAAAUGGAAGACCUGAAUGUGUAAAACAUGUUAGAAUAAAAUAUGAAAAACUCCUUGAUGUUAGUCUUGUAGUGAUUUUUUCGUUUUGUUUUGUUUUUGGUAAAUGAACAUCAAAAGCACAAGCAAUGAAAGCAAAACUAAACUAAACAAGUGAGACUAUAUCAAAUUAGAAGGCUUUUGCGUAGCAAUGGAAACAAAUAUUAAAAGGCAGCCUAGGGGGUAGGAGAAAAUAUUUUCAAACCAUAUGUCCGGUAAGAUGUUAAUAUUCAAAAUAUAUAAGGAAUGCAUAGAACUCAAUAGCAGAAGCAAAACAAACAGUGUGACUCAAAGUGGGCAGAGGAUCCGAAUAGACAUUUUUCCCAAGACAUAAAUCACAACAGGUACAUGAAAAGGUGCAUAAUAUCACUAAUCUUCACCAGAGAAGUGCCAGUCAAACCACAGUGAGUUAUUACCUCACAUUUGUUAGCAUGGUUGUCAUCAAAAAGGCAAGAGAUAACAAGUAUUGGUGAGGAUGUAGAAAAAAGGGAACCCUGUGUGCUGUUGGUGGGAAUGUAAAUUGUUAUAGCCAUUAUGGAAACAAUAUGGAGAUUCCUCAAAAGAUUAAAAACAGAGCUAACAUAUGAUCCAACAGUCUUAACCAAAGGAUAUGAAAUUAGGAUCUUAAAGAGAUGUUUGCAUCCCCAUGGUCAUUAUAGCACUGUUCACAACAGCUACGACAUGGAAACAACCUGUGUCCCUUGAUGGAUGAAUGAAUGGAUUAAAAAAAUGGUACAAAUAUAAAAUGGAAUAUUAUUCAGCCAAUGGAAAGAAGAAAAUGCCGCCAUUUGUGGUAACAUGGGUGGAUUGAGGGCGUUACGUUAAGUGAAAUCAAAGACAAGUAAUAUAUGAUCUCACUUACGUGUCGAACCUAAAAAAGUCAAAAGUCACAUUGUGGCUGUGGUGGAGGCCGGCAGCUGGAGCUCCAAUUUGACCCCUAGCCUGGAACUUCCAUAUGCCACAGGUGUGGCCCUAAAAAGUAAAAAAAAAAAAAAAAGUCAAAUUCAUAGAAACAAAGAGUAGAAUGGUGGUUGCUGGGGGCUAGGGCAUGGGGGAAGUGGGGAGAUGAUGAAAGGGUACAGACUUACAGUAAUAAGACUAAGUUGUAGGGGUCUAAUGUAUAGCAUUGUGGCUAUACAUAUAAUACAGUAUUAUAUACUUUAAAUUCUCUGAGGGUAGAUACUAAAUAUUCCCACCACAAAGAUAAAAAAGAAAAUGGUAGUUAUAUGAGUUCAUGGUGAGUUAGUGAGUUAACUUAAAGUACUGUGGUAAUCAUUUCACAGUAUAUGCAUGUAUCAAAUUUUCACAUUGAACAUCUUAAACUUACAUAAUAUUAUGUAUCAAUUAUAUUUCAGUAAAGCUGAAAAAAAUGAAAUGGUUAUGUUAUAUUCACAAUUCUCCAUGCAGAAAGAUUGGCAAAUGGAGGCACUGAUAAGAUUGUUUAAAAGAUGCAGUAAGAAAUAUCUUAAGAGUUCCCUUUGUGGUUUAGCGGAAAUGAACCUGACUAGUAUCCAUGAAGAUGCGGGUUCGAUCCCUGGCUUCACUCAGUGGAUUAAAGGUUCGGUGUUGCUGUGAGCUGCAGUGUAGGUAGCAGAGGCAGCUUGAAUCCUGUGCUGCCAUGGCUGUGGUAUAGGCCAGCAGCUGCAGCUCCAAUUCUUCGCCUCCUAGCCUGGGAACUUCCAUGUGCCACAGGUGCGAGCCUAAAAAAAAAAAAAAAA
Molecule: long non-coding RNA, 2506 nt
Filed under: Sus scrofa (pig)
Lineage: Eukaryota; Metazoa; Chordata; Mammalia; Artiodactyla; Suidae
Description: lncRNA (ENSSSCG00005012732.1)
Source: RNAcentral